RNAcentral lists this ribosomal RNA (270 nucleotides) under uncultured bacterium. RNAcentral's name for it is "partial 16S ribosomal RNA". It matches the Rfam family "Bacterial small subunit ribosomal RNA", at positions 30 to 296 of the family's 1533-position model. The record is from RNAcentral.
AUUGAACGCUGGCGGCACGCCUAACACAUGCAAGUCGAGCGGCAGCGCGAUUAGUAGCAAUACUAAUUGGCGGCGAGCGGCGGACGGGUGAGGAACACGUAGGAACCUACCCUCAAGCGGGGGACAACCAAGGGAAACUUUGGCUAAUACCGCAUACACUCGCAAGAGGAAAGUUGCUCGCAAGGGUGACACUUGAGGAGGGGCCUGCGUCCGAUUAGCUAGUUGGUGAGGUAAAAGCUCACCAAGGCGAUGAUCGGUAACUGGUCUGAG